Empidonax traillii (willow flycatcher) is the source of this 2156-nucleotide long non-coding RNA. RefSeq lists it as uncharacterized. Lineage: Eukaryota; Metazoa; Chordata; Aves; Passeriformes; Tyrannidae. The transcript is spliced from 3 exons. The record is from RefSeq and is a predicted model, not a curated record.
GUGAGUGCUGCGCGCACUCCGCGUUAUUUACUGUUCAUUCCGUCUCCUUCUCAUCCUUCUUUUAAUUUGUGUUUUGGAUGUGCUUUAUCACGCGCGCCACGUGUCGGGGCGGCGGAGCCUGCGUGUGGUUUAUAAAUAACUGGGCGUAGCCUGGGGACACACGCUGGCUCGGGGUGUGUGUGUGGGGGGGGUUAACACUGGUAGGGCAGCGCUGCGUCCUCUCCUGGCCACGUUUAAGGAUCUGGAGCAUUAAAUAACAUUAAGAAUUAACAGAUGCCAAGGGAGUCGCAUUCGUUUUUCCGUGGGAAGGAGGUCAGCACCGCCGGUGUGGGUGUCGGACCAGGUAGAGAAGCAGAUUCCCAGGAGAAGGACAGAGUGCCUGAUGAGGAAAAUCCUCCUGCUCCCACCAUGUACUGGCGCUUCAGCUCCAGAUAAUAUUUUCUGUGCAUAAUAACUUCCACAGCCCGUGGGAACCUUGUCAGCACAGCGUGAAUUUGUCCACCUUUAAUCAGUGUGCAGGCAGGAGAAAGGCUUCCCACCCCUGUACAUGGGUUGGUGUGCUGCCUCUCGGGGGGAAUGGUUUGCUCUCUUCCCAGGUCAGCCAGCACUGCAUCAGAUUGUUUGGGAAGUCAGCGGGGCUGCUGGGUACUAGGAUAAAGUUCUUUAAAAGGCAUCAUUGCAGAAGGACUGACAGUGCACCCAGGAACCACAGUUACAACCAGUCAUUGAUUUGUUUCCUGCUUGAGUACCAUAAAACAUUUUUCAAGAAAUGGAAGGAGAUAAAGGGCAGAGUGCUAAAGCUACCAGUGCAGUGGGUGACCUGAGGAAAAGCUGGCAGACCUGGGCAGAGGAUCACAUUGAGUAUCAGAGAAAGAACCCGUUCAGCAGCGAGGACAGGCUUGCCUCUAGACCUGCGCACACUCACCGAGGAGAUCCUACCUAUGGGAGACCCCCUGAAGGGUCUCGGACAGAGCAGAGAGGGAAAGAUGCUCACUCACACGUGGGCAAGGAAGUAGAAGAGCUGUGCUUGAUCAUUAGAAGCACUGGACAGGUGGGUGAAGAUGGACACGUGAGUGUGACAUUUGGGCAGCUGUUUGAAACAUAUGUGACUAUUUCCAAUAAAGUAGUGGGAAUCUUGUUAAGAGCCAGAAAACAUGGUCUGGUUCAUUUUGAAGGUGAAAUGCUUUGGCAAGGAAAAGAUGAUGAUGUGGUCAUCACUUUACUACAAUAAGGCUUUGUCAUGGAAUGAAUUUUGCUGCAUGGUUCCAUUUGGACAAACAUACCUAGAUACCAUCUUGAAAGGUUUUCAUUGCAGCAUUUCAACUAAGCAACCUACUGGGACAUGAGCAGGAGAGAAAACUGGAGAGAAGGAUAAAGCAUAUUUUUGUAAAAAUGGUAGAGAUUUGGACAGAAAUCACAAAUGACAAGCUAAUCCAUCAUGCUGCCAUUGGAUUGUUCUUAUCAGCUACUACUAUGUAUAUCACAGUUCUUCAAACGACUCCGCUGGCUUACUGCUUUUAGGUUAUUGAAAGGAUACAUAACUAACUUUCUACCGUUCAACACUGAUCCUUGUAGGUUGUGAGAUACUUGCUGCAUGGGGGAUUGGGAUUUGUAAAAUGUAGAAUUGAAAACUUUUGUGGGAAUUCAUAUACUUCCUCAAACAAAGAGCCUGGAUAUAUUUAGGUUCAGUUUCACACUGUUAAACUGAAUACAUGGAAGCUAUUUUCAUGAAGGAGGAAAAAAAUCCCAAACAUAGAAAAAUAUCACAGCAAGGAUAUUUGAUGGUUCCUAAAUUAUUUGCACCUUGCAUGUAUUUUGGAGAGAUGCACUAGUCCUGGUAUUUAAUAGUCUACUCUUAUAUUCUCUCCAAACCUUUUGUGUCCUUUGUUCUUUUUCUUCUGUAUCUCACUCCGUUUUUACCUCUUCUGUUCUCCCAAUGCUGUGUCAUACCCUAGAAGGUCACAAAGCUCUGCAGUUAUUUUGGUGGAUUCAGCUAUACCCCUUCAUAGGAAGUAAGGUGCCACAAUGUGAAGAUGUGAAAGACAACACAAAUUCUGUACUGGGGAACCUGUACAUUCAUCAGGAAAAAAAAAAGGCUCUUCUUUCACAAAAAUGAGGUAAUGUUUGUAAUGAGAGGAGAGAUCCUGUACUGCCAA